GGCAGUUUGGCGGAGUGGUCUAACGCGCUAGACUUGAACGAACACAUUCGUGUUAACACAUUCAUGUUAUCUAGUCCUUUCGAGGGCGCAGGUUCGAACCCUGCAACUGUCG
Molecule: transfer RNA, 112 nt
Filed under: Penicillium crustosum
Lineage: Eukaryota; Fungi; Ascomycota; Eurotiomycetes; Eurotiales; Aspergillaceae
Rfam family: tRNA
About the family: Transfer RNA (tRNA) molecules are approximately 80 nucleotides in length. Their secondary structure includes four short double-helical elements and three loops (D, anti-codon, and T loops). Further hydrogen bonds mediate the characteristic L-shaped molecular structure. tRNAs have two regions of fundamental functional importance: the anti-codon, which is responsible for specific mRNA codon recognition, and the 3' end, to which the tRNAs corresponding amino acid is attached (by aminoacyl-tRNA synthetases). tRNAs cope with the degeneracy of the genetic code in two manners: having more than one tRNA (with a specific anti-codon) for a particular amino acid; and 'wobble' base-pairing, i.e. permitting non-standard base-pairing at the 3rd anti-codon position.
Source: Rfam by way of RNAcentral